UCCCCUAAAUCAAGGACCUUUCUACUGGAC
RNAcentral lists this non-coding RNA (30 nucleotides) under Rattus norvegicus (Norway rat). The record is from RNAcentral. Lineage: Eukaryota; Metazoa; Chordata; Mammalia; Rodentia; Muridae.